Molecule: non-coding RNA, 26 nt
Filed under: Mus musculus (house mouse)
Lineage: Eukaryota; Metazoa; Chordata; Mammalia; Rodentia; Muridae
Source: RNAcentral
UGAGCACUUUAAAUCCAAGGAGAUGC